UGUCCUGACCGCUUUCCAGGCCUGUGCUUGUUCUCAGGGCUGCAUGAAUAAUCUGACCUUUGGUGAUUCCACUUUUGGGUACUACGAAACAAUUGCUGGUGGUAGCGGAGCUGGACCGACAUGGGACGGAACGAGUGGAGUGCAGUGCCACAUGACCAACACUAGGAUGACUGAUCCUGAAAUCUUCGAGCAGCGGUACCCAGUUAUUCUUCACAGG
RNAcentral lists this unclassified non-coding RNA (217 nucleotides) under Hevea brasiliensis (rubber tree). The record is from RNAcentral. Lineage: Eukaryota; Viridiplantae; Streptophyta; Magnoliopsida; Malpighiales; Euphorbiaceae.